RNAcentral lists this ribosomal RNA (635 nucleotides) under uncultured bacterium. RNAcentral describes it as "bacterial SSU rRNA". It matches the Rfam family "Bacterial small subunit ribosomal RNA", at positions 28 to 682 of the family's 1533-position model. The record is from RNAcentral.
GACGAACGCUGGCGGCGUGCCUAACACAUGCAAGUCGAGCGAUGAAACCCUUCGGGGUGGAUUAGCGGCGGACGGGUGAGUAACACGUGGGUAACCUGCCUCAAAGAGGGGAAUAGCCUCCCGAAAGGGAGAUUAAUACCGCAUAAUAUGUUUUGAUCGCAUGAUCUUGACAUCAAAGGAGUAAUCCGCUUUGAGAUGGACCCGCGGCGCAUUAGCUAGUUGGUGAGGUAACGGCUCACCAAGGCGACGAUGCGUAGCCGACCUGAGAGGGUGAUCGGCCACAUUGGAACUGAGACACGGUCCAGACUCCUACGGGAGGCAGCAGUGGGGAAUAUUGCGCAAUGGGGGAAACCCUGACGCAGCAACGCCGCGUGAAUGAUGAAGGCCUUCGGGUUGUAAAGUUCUGUCUUCUGGGACGAUAAUGACGGUACCAGAGGAGGAAGCCACGGCUAACUACGUGCCAGCAGCCGCGGUAAUACGUAGGUGGCAAGCGUUGUCCGGAUUUACUGGGCGUAAAGGAUGCGUAGGCGGACAUUUAAGACAGAUGUGAAAUACCCGAGCUUAACUUGGGUGCUGCAUUUGAAACUGGGUGUCUAGAGUGCAGGAGAGGUAAGUGGAAUUCCUAGUGUAGCGGU